AACGAACGCUGGCGGCAGGCUUAACACAUGCAAGUCGAACGGACGUAGCAAUACGUUAGUGGCAGACGGGCGAGUAACGCGUGGGAAUAUGCCCUUUAGUUCGGAAUAACACAGAGAAAUUUGUGCUAAUACCGGAUAAUCCCGAGAGGGGAAAGAUUUAUCGCUGAAGGAGUAGCCCGCGUCUGAUUAGCUAGUUGGUGAGGUAAUGGCUCACCAAGGCGACGAUCAGUAGCUGGUCUGAGAGGAUGAUCAGCCACACUGGGACUGAGACACGGCCCAGACUCCUACGGGAGGCAGCAGUGGGGAAUAUUGGACAAUGGGGGCAACCCUGAUCCAGCCAUGCCGCGUGAGUGAUGAAGGCCUUAGGGUUGUAAAACUCUUUUGUCCGGGAAGAUAAUGACUGUACCGGAAGAAUAAGCCCCGGCUAACUUCGUGCCAGCCGCCGCAGUAA
Molecule: ribosomal RNA, 451 nt
Filed under: uncultured bacterium
Lineage: Bacteria
Description: partial 16S ribosomal RNA
Rfam family: Bacterial small subunit ribosomal RNA
Source: RNAcentral